AUGUUUAAUCAAAUGAAUAUUAUAUAUUGGUUGGAUUGUUUUUUCAGAGUUUAUCAGGUCACCUUGCAGCCUUCUCUUCUCCAUGCUGCACUCCUUGGAUUCCCACCCAUGAAAACUGGAAGUUUGGAGAGAUGUGUGAGUGCUCCGGUGAGAUUCCUGGAGAAUGUUAGGAUACCUUUGCAGCAUGCCGUGCAACCUGCAAGCAGCAGGGCUAUUUCUACUGGAACUUUAUUGGUGAAUGCCAUGCAGCCUGGAAACUUCUGGGGAAGGAAUUUCUUCAGGCCUUGACUCAGUCUCUGUCAACCCUGAACAUACGUAAAAUCGGUGGAAAACACAUUUUGGCGUAUAAUACUAACAGUGAAAGCACUCUUACAAAAUAACUGUCUUUAAAACCACAGAUAUUCUAAAGUUUCUUGUUGCCAAUCGUGGAAGAUUUUUCUAAUGUGUGCAGUAGUGAUAAAUGAGACUGUGAUCUGCUCUAACGAGGGUUCUGAUCUAAAGUGCUGUGAAUGCCUCAAUGCACAUUUCUUUUACUUUGCAAAAAAAAAAAAAAAAACCACCAAAAAACCAAAACAAAAAAACCAAAAAAUAAAACCCAGAAGCAAUGAACUAAAUUGUUGUAC
This 623-nucleotide long non-coding RNA is filed under the name Coturnix japonica (Japanese quail). RNAcentral's name for it is "lncRNA (ENSCJPG00005017164.1)". Lineage: Eukaryota; Metazoa; Chordata; Aves; Galliformes; Phasianidae. The record is from RNAcentral.